RNAcentral lists this ribosomal RNA (398 nucleotides) under Aspergillus unguis. RNAcentral's name for it is "partial small subunit ribosomal RNA". It matches the Rfam family "Eukaryotic small subunit ribosomal RNA", at positions 30 to 432 of the family's 1831-position model. The record is from RNAcentral. Lineage: Eukaryota; Fungi; Ascomycota; Eurotiomycetes; Eurotiales; Aspergillaceae.
GCUUGUCUCAAAGAUUAAGCCAUGCAUGUCUAAGUAUAAACGAUUUUAUACGUGAAACUGCGAAUGGCUCAUUAUAUCAGUUAUAGUUUAUUUGAUGGUCCUUACUACUUGGAUAACCGUAGUAAUUCUAGAGCUAAUACAUGCUAAAAACCCCGACUUCGGGAGGGGUGUAUUUAUUAGAUAAAAAACCAAUGCCCCUCGGGGCUCCUUGGUGAAUCAUAAUAACUUAACGAAUCGCAUGGCCUUGCGCCGGCGAUGGUUCAUUCAAAUUUCUGCCCUAUCAACUUUCGAUGGUAGGAUAGUGGCCUACCAUGGUGGCAACGGGUAACGGGGAAUUAGGGUUCGAUUCCGGAGAGGGAGCCUGAGAAACGGCUACCACAUCCAAGGAAGGCAGCAGG